AACAAGGUACCCCUACGAGAACGUGGGGGUGGAUCACCUCCUUUCAAAUGGAGUUUUUAUUUUUUAUUUAUCUUAAACACCCAUUAAUUUUUUCGGUGUUAAAACCCAAAUCAAUGUUUGGUCUCACAACUAACACAUUUGGUCAGUUUGUAUCCAGUUCUGAAAGAAUGUUUUUGAACAGUUCUUUCAAAACUGAAAACGACAAUCUUUCUAGUUCCAAAAAUAAAUACCAAAGGAUCAAUACAAUAAGUUACUAAGGGCUUAUGGUGGAUGCCUUGGCACUAAAAGGCGAUGAAGGACGUGUUAACCUGCGAUAAGCUUCGGGGAGGUGGUAAAAACCUGAGAUCCGGAGGUGUCCGAAUGGAGCAAUCUGGUAGCUUGCAAAAGU
Molecule: unclassified non-coding RNA, 388 nt
Filed under: Mycoplasmoides genitalium
Lineage: Bacteria; Bacillati; Mycoplasmatota; Mycoplasmoidales; Mycoplasmoidaceae
Description: Mycoplasma genitalium partial 16S-23S ribosomal RNA intergenic spacer
Rfam family: Bacterial large subunit ribosomal RNA (bases 244-388)
Source: RNAcentral